RNAcentral lists this ribosomal RNA (402 nucleotides) under bacterium. RNAcentral describes it as "partial 16S ribosomal RNA". It matches the Rfam family "Bacterial small subunit ribosomal RNA", at positions 355 to 776 of the family's 1533-position model. The record is from RNAcentral.
UGGGGAAUUUUGCACAAUGGGGGAAACCCUGAUGCAGCGACGCCGCGUGAUUUAGAAGGCCUUCGGGUUGUAAAAAUCUUUUCUAUGGGAAGAAAAUGACAGUACCAUAGGAAUAAGGACCGGCUAAUUACGUGCCAGCAGCCGCGGUAAUACGUAAGGUCCGAGCGUUGUCCGGAAUCAUUCGGCGUAAAGGGUACGUAGGCGGGUAAGCAAGUUAGAAGUGAAAUCCUAUAGCUCAACUAUAGUAAGCUUUUAAAACUGCUCAUCUUGAGGUAUGGAAGGGAAAGUGGAAUUCCUAUUGUAGCGGUGAAUUGCGCAGAUAUUAGGAGGAAUACCGGUGGCGAAGGCGACUUGCUGGCCAUAACCUGACGCUGAGGUACGAAAGCGUGGGUAGCAAACAGG